This 921-nucleotide ribosomal RNA is filed under the name Microbacterium sp. NCCP-1268. RNAcentral describes it as "bacterial SSU rRNA". It matches the Rfam family "Bacterial small subunit ribosomal RNA", at positions 92 to 1027 of the family's 1533-position model. Lineage: Bacteria; Bacillati; Actinomycetota; Actinomycetes; Micrococcales; Microbacteriaceae. The record is from RNAcentral.
UUAGUGGCGAACGGGUGAGUAACACGUGAGCAACCUGCCCCUGACUCUGGGAUAAGCGCUGGAAACGGCGUCUAAUACUGGAUACGAGUAGCGAUCGCAUGGUCAGCUACUGGAAAGAUUUUUUGGUUGGGGAUGGGCUCGCGGCCUAUCAGCUUGUUGGUGAGGUAAUGGCUCACCAAGGCGUCGACGGGUAGCCGGCCUGAGAGGGUGACCGGCCACACUGGGGCUGAGACACGGCCCAGACUCCUACGGGAGGCAGCAGUGGGGAAUAUUGCACAAUGGGCGGAAGCCUGAUGCAGCAACGCCGCGUGAGGGAUGACGGCCUUCGGGUUGUAAACCUCUUUUAGCAGGGAAGAAGCGAGAGUGACGGUACCUGCAGAAAAAGCGCCGGCUAACUACGUGCCAGCAGCCGCGGUAAUACGUAGGGCGCAAGCGUUAUCCGGAAUUAUUGGGCGUAAAGAGCUCGUAGGCGGUUUGUCGCGUCUGCUGUGAAAUCCCGAGGCUCAACCUCGGGCCUGCAGUGGGUACGGGCAGACUAGAGUGCGGUAGGGGAGAUUGGAAUUCCUGGUGUAGCGGUGGAAUGCGCAGAUAUCAGGAGGAACACCGAUGGCGAAGGCAGAUCUCUGGGCCGUAACUGACGCUGAGGAGCGAAAGGGUGGGGAGCAAACAGGCUUAGAUACCCUGGUAGUCCACCCCGUAAACGUUGGGAACUAGUUGUGGGGUCCAUUCCACGGAUUCCGUGACGCAGCUAACGCAUUAAGUUCCCCGCCUGGGGAGUACGGCCGCAAGGCUAAAACUCAAAGGAAUUGACGGGGACCCGCACAAGCGGCGGAGCAUGCGGAUUAAUUCGAUGCAACGCGAAGAACCUUACCAAGGCUUGACAUAUACGAGAACGGGCCAGAAAUGGUCAACUCUUUGGAC